RNAcentral lists this transfer RNA (77 nucleotides) under bacterium. RNAcentral's name for it is "tRNA-Pro". It matches the Rfam family "tRNA". From Rfam's summary of the family: Transfer RNA (tRNA) molecules are approximately 80 nucleotides in length. Their secondary structure includes four short double-helical elements and three loops (D, anti-codon, and T loops). RNAcentral also lists the same sequence under 1 other name. The record is from RNAcentral.
CGGGGCGUGGCGCAGUUUGGUAGCGCACCAGCAUGGGGUGCUGGGGGCCGCUGGUUCGAGUCCAGUCGCCCCGACCA